This 1254-nucleotide ribosomal RNA is filed under the name Vibrio hyugaensis. Its description in RNAcentral is "bacterial LSU rRNA". It matches the Rfam family "Bacterial large subunit ribosomal RNA", at positions 1660 to 2891 of the family's 2925-position model. Lineage: Bacteria; Pseudomonadati; Pseudomonadota; Gammaproteobacteria; Vibrionales; Vibrionaceae. The record is from RNAcentral.
CAGGUGGUCGGGUAGAGAAUACCAAGGCGCUUGAGAGAACUCGGGUGAAGGAACUAGGCAAAAUGGUACCGUAACUUCGGGAGAAGGUACGCUCUUGAUGGUGAAGUCCCUUGCGGAUGGAGCUGACGAGAGUCGCAGAUACCAGGUGGCUGCAACUGUUUAUUAAAAACACAGCACUGUGCAAAAUCGUAAGAUGACGUAUACGGUGUGACGCCUGCCCGGUGCCGGAAGGUUAAUUGAUGGGGUUAGACUUAGGUCGAAGCUCUUGAUCGAAGCCCCGGUAAACGGCGGCCGUAACUAUAACGGUCCUAAGGUAGCGAAAUUCCUUGUCGGGUAAGUUCCGACCUGCACGAAUGGCGUAAUGAUGGCCACGCUGUCUCCACCCGAGACUCAGUGAAAUUGAAAUCGCUGUGAAGAUGCAGUGUACCCGCGGCUAGACGGAAAGACCCCGUGAACCUUUACUACAGCUUGGCACUGAACAUUGACCCUACAUGUGUAGGAUAGGUGGGAGGCUUUGAAGCACAGUCGCUAGAUUGUGUGGAGCCGUCCUUGAAAUACCACCCUUGUAGUGUUGAUGUUCUAACGUCGACCCCUUAUCGGGGUUGCGGACAGUGCCUGGUGGGUAGUUUGACUGGGGCGGUCUCCUCCCAAAGAGUAACGGAGGAGCACGAAGGUGGGCUAAUCACGGUUGGACAUCGUGAGGUUAGUGCAAUGGCAUAAGCCCGCUUGACUGCGAGAAUGACAAUUCGAGCAGGUGCGAAAGCAGGUCAUAGUGAUCCGGUGGUUCUGUAUGGAAGGGCCAUCGCUCAACGGAUAAAAGGUACUCCGGGGAUAACAGGCUGAUACCGCCCAAGAGUUCAUAUCGACGGCGGUGUUUGGCACCUCGAUGUCGGCUCAUCACAUCCUGGGGCUGAAGUCGGUCCCAAGGGUAUGGCUGUUCGCCAUUUAAAGUGGUACGCGAGCUGGGUUUAGAACGUCGUGAGACAGUUCGGUCCCUAUCUGCCGUGGGCGUUGGAAGAUUGAAGGGGGCUGCUCCUAGUACGAGAGGACCGGAGUGGACGAACCUCUGGUGUUCGGGUUGUGUCGCCAGACGCAUUGCCCGGUAGCUAAGUUCGGAAUCGAUAACCGCUGAAAGCAUCUAAGCGGGAAGCGAGCCCUGAGAUGAGUCUUCCCUGAUACUUUAAGUAUCCUAAAGGGUUGUUCGAGACUAGAACGUUGAUAGGCAGGGUGUGUAAGCGUUGUGAGGCGUUGAGC